UACGAGGGGGGCGAGCGUUGUUCGGAAUUAUUGGGCGUAAAGAGCGUGUAGGCGGCUUGGUAGGUCCGCUGUGAAAACUCGAGGCUCAACCUCGAGAUGUCGGCGGAAACCACUUGGCUAGAGUCCGGAAGAGGAGAGUGGAAUUCCCGGUGUAGCGGUGAAAUGCGCAGAUAUCGGGAAGAACACCUAUGGCGAAGGCAGCUCUCUGGGACGGUACUGACGCUGAGACGCGAAAGCGUGGGGAGCGAACAGG
This 253-nucleotide ribosomal RNA is filed under the name uncultured bacterium. RNAcentral's name for it is "partial 16S ribosomal RNA". It matches the Rfam family "Bacterial small subunit ribosomal RNA", at positions 524 to 776 of the family's 1533-position model. The record is from RNAcentral.